Molecule: ribosomal RNA, 455 nt
Filed under: uncultured bacterium
Lineage: Bacteria
Description: bacterial SSU rRNA
Rfam family: Bacterial small subunit ribosomal RNA
Source: RNAcentral
UACGGAAGGCAGCAGUGGGGAAUAUUGCACAAUGGGCGAAAGCCUGAUGCAGCUAUGCCGCGUGUAUGAAGAAGGCCUUAGGGUUGUAAAGUACUUUCAUCGGGGAGGAAAAACAAAACUAAUAAUUUUAUUUCUUGACGUUACCCGAAAAAGAAGCACCGGCUAACUCCGUGCCAGCAGCCGCGGUAAUACGGAGGGUGCUAGCGUUAAUCAGAAUUACUGGGCGUAAAGAGCACGUAGGUGGUUUUUUUAAGUCAGAUGUGAAUCCCUGGGCUUAACCUAGGAACUGCAUUUUGAAACUGAAAUACUAGAGUAUCGUAGAGGGAGGUAGAAUUCUAGGUGUAGCGGUGAAAUGCGUAGAUAUCUGGAGGAAUACCUGUGGCGAAAGCGGCCUCCUAAACGAAUACUGACACUGAGGUGCGAAAAGCGUGGGGAGCAAACAGGGAUUAGAUACC